This 746-nucleotide long non-coding RNA is filed under the name Homo sapiens (human). RNAcentral's name for it is "HSALNT0372568". Lineage: Eukaryota; Metazoa; Chordata; Mammalia; Primates; Hominidae. The record is from RNAcentral.
GUGGGCCCCAGGUGCCCCGGGAAAACUUGGGGGAGAAUGGGCAUCCCACCCCAGCACUUUCUAGGAAGAAGGGCAGCAUUUUGAAGGGCUGGAAGUAGAGGAAGGAGGUUGCGGGUAGAAGACUCCAUACUUUCUGUGACGCCUAUUCCUUAGGAGAGCCUUUAUAUAACCAAAGAUAUUUUUGGACCAUGAAUUCAGAAAUUCUCGGAGCCACCCAUCAGUGCCUGAGCUUCAGUGAGUCCAUAUCCCAUGUCACCCACGGCAAAGGAGACUCUAAGACUUCUGAAGAGUUUCUUGCUUCUUUCCUGUGGGGCAGUGACUCCACUUCCCAGCAGUAAUGGAAUAUCCUGAAUUAGCUACAUUAAUGUUAGAACCAUUUGGACCUCACCCAGGACUUCAACUACAUUAUGGUUCUAGUAUGUUACGUUUAUGUUCCCCUGCUUUCUACAAUCCUGUUCAAAGAGUUGCUGACUUAACCACAGAGAGGAUUCCAGAACCUGAGACACAGAAUAAACUUGAGCAAUCAUAGUCCAUCCACUUCAUUGUCUCAUCAAAAACCAAAGGUCCAGUGAAGCUCUGGAACUCAACGCUGUAAAGGAGCGAAGGAGCUUCUAUACAGAGCCUGGAUGCCUGUCUCCUUAUCCUACUUCAGUGGACUUGACUGCAAUCCGGAUUAUGCUGUUUUCUAAGCAUUUAAAAUAAAAUAAAAAGUAUAAUAGUGUGAUAAGUUCUUUCACAAAGCAAGC